RNAcentral lists this ribosomal RNA (253 nucleotides) under uncultured bacterium. Its description in RNAcentral is "partial 16S ribosomal RNA". It matches the Rfam family "Bacterial small subunit ribosomal RNA", at positions 524 to 776 of the family's 1533-position model. The record is from RNAcentral.
UACGUAGGGAGCAAGCGUUGUCCGGAAUCAUUGGGCGUAAAGCGCGCGUAGGUGGCCCUGUAAGUCCGCUGUGAAAGUCAAAGGCUCAACCUUUGAAAGCCGGUGGAUACUGUCGGGCUAGAGUGCGGAAGAGGCGAGUGGAAUUCCUGGUGUAGCGGUGAAAUGCGCAGAUAUCAGGAGGAACACCGAUUGCGAAGGCAGCUCGCUGGGACGUAACUGACGCUGAGACGCGAAAGCGUGGGGAGCAAACAGG